UACGGAGGGUGCAAGCGUUAUCCGGAUUCACUGGGUUUAAAGGGAGCGUAGGUGGGUUGGUAAGUCAGUGGUGAAAUCCCCGAGCUUAACUUGGGAACUGCCAUUGAUACUAUCAGUCUUGAAUACUGUGGAGGUUAGCGGAAUAUGUCAUGUAGCGGUGAAAUGCUUAGAUAUGACAUAGAACACCAAUUGCGAAGGCAGCUGGCUACACGAAUAUUGACACUGAUGCACGAAAGCGUGGGGAUCAAACAGG
This 253-nucleotide ribosomal RNA is filed under the name uncultured bacterium. Its description in RNAcentral is "partial 16S ribosomal RNA". It matches the Rfam family "Bacterial small subunit ribosomal RNA", at positions 524 to 776 of the family's 1533-position model. The record is from RNAcentral.